Molecule: ribosomal RNA, 479 nt
Filed under: uncultured Planctomycetota bacterium
Lineage: Bacteria; Pseudomonadati; Planctomycetota
Description: bacterial SSU rRNA
Rfam family: Bacterial small subunit ribosomal RNA
Source: RNAcentral
UUUCGCAAUGCCCGAAAGGGUGACGAAGCAACGCCGCGUGGGGGAAGAAGACCUUCGGGUUGUAAACCGCUGUCGGGAGUUAAGAAAUGUAAGGAUGUUAAUAGCAUCUUUGCUUGACUAAGGCUCCGGAGGAAGCCACGGCUAACUCUGUGCCAGCAGCCGCGGUAAUACAGAGGCGGCAAGCGUUGUUCGGAAUUAUUGGGCGUAAAGAGCACGUAGGCGGCUAUGUAAGUCGGUUGUGAAAGCCUUCCGCUCAACGGGAGAACAGCAUCCGAUACUGCAUGGCUUGAGUGCGGGAGGGGAGAGUGGAACUUCUGGUGGAGUGGUGAAAUGCGUAGAUAUCAGAAGGAACGCCGGCGGCGAAAGCGGCUCUCUGGCCCAUAACUGACGCUGAGUGUGCGAAAGCUAGGGGAGCAAACGGGAUUAGAUACCCCGGUAGUCCUAGCCGUAAACGAUGGGCACUAAGUAGAGGGGUUUUA